Molecule: long non-coding RNA, 460 nt
Filed under: Vulpes vulpes (red fox)
Lineage: Eukaryota; Metazoa; Chordata; Mammalia; Carnivora; Canidae
Description: lncRNA (ENSVVUG00000014973.1)
Source: RNAcentral
GGAAGAUCUUUGAUGGGGAGGCUGGCUGGAGAGUGAAAGUGAGCAAGAGAUGGGGCACUGCAGACCCUCUGGUAGAGAUCGUUUGGUACAGGCCCAGCAUCUCCAGGAGGGCUGUUCCUCUGUCACUGUGGAGCAGGCCCUUCAGAAGAGGGCAUGUGCAGAGCCAGGAUGGGAUUCUGUUCCUAGUUAGGACCUCGGUGGAAGAUUGGUCAAGCAGGAAAGAACAAAGUUGGCCCAUCCUUGAAGGGGAGUGAAUGGUUGGACUUCAAGUAGCUCCAAAGGCCACUGGGGACAUAUUUGAAGCAGGUCACACACUGCAGAGGUUUCCUUAUCCCUCAGUGUCCGGGAUCCCCAAGGUCAGCCCAGGUUUGAUGAUUCACUGGGAGGACUUGCAGCAAUCAGCGUAGAGUUGAACUUGUGGUCAUCAUUUAUGACAAUAAAGGAAUACAAAGCACAGUCA